GUGGGGAAUAUUGGACAAUGGGCGAAAGCCUGAUCCAGCAAUGCCGCGUGAGUGAUGAAGGCCUUAGGGUUGUAAAGCUCUUUUACCAGGGAUGAUAAUGACAGUACCUGGAGAAUAAGCUCCGGCUAACUCCGUGCCAGCAGCCGCGGUAAUACGGAGGGAGCUAGCGUUGUUCGGAAUUACUGGGCGUAAAGCGCACGUAGGCGGUUACUCAAGUCAGAGGUGAAAGCCCGGGGCUCAACCCCGGAACUGCCUUUGAAACUAGGUAACUAGAAUCUUGGAGAGGUCAGUGGAAUUCCGAGUGUAGAGGUGAAAUUCGUAGAUAUUCGGGAGAACACCAGUGGCGAAGGCGACUGACUGGACAAGUAUUGACGCUGAGGUGCGAAAGCGUGGGGAGCAAACAGGAUUAGAUACCCUAGUAGUCC
Molecule: ribosomal RNA, 425 nt
Filed under: uncultured bacterium
Lineage: Bacteria
Description: partial 16S ribosomal RNA
Rfam family: Bacterial small subunit ribosomal RNA
Source: RNAcentral